This 536-nucleotide ribosomal RNA is filed under the name uncultured bacterium. RNAcentral's name for it is "bacterial SSU rRNA". It matches the Rfam family "Bacterial small subunit ribosomal RNA", at positions 9 to 545 of the family's 1533-position model. The record is from RNAcentral.
GAGUUUGAUCCUGGCUCAGGAUGAACGCUGGCGGCGUGCUUAACACAUGCAAGUCGAGCGGAGGUUUAAAGCGGAAGUUUUCGGAUGGAAGCAAUAAACCUUAGCGGCGGACGGGUGAGUAACGCGUGGGUAACCUGCCUCAUACAGGGGGAUAACAGUUAGAAAUGACUGCUAAAACCGCAUAAGCGCACAUUGUCGAGUGACAGAGUGUGAAAAACUCCGGUGGUAUGAGAUGGACCCGCGUCUGAUUAGCUAGUUGGUGAGGUAACGGCCCACCAAGGCGACGAUCAGUAGCCGGCCUGAGAGGGCGACCGGCCACAUUGGGACUGAGACACGGCCCAAACUCCUACGGGAGGCAGCAGUGGGGAAUAUUGCACAAUGGGGGAAACCCUGAUGCAGCGACGCCGCGUGAGUGAAGAAGUAUUUCGGUAUGUAAAGCUCUAUCAGCAGGGAAGAAGAAAGACGGUACCUGACUAAGAAGCCCCGGCUAACUACGUGCCAGCAGCCGCGGUAAUACGUAGGGGGCAAGCGUUAUC